This 382-nucleotide ribosomal RNA is filed under the name uncultured Methanosphaera sp. RNAcentral describes it as "bacterial SSU rRNA". It matches the Rfam family "Archaeal small subunit ribosomal RNA", at positions 364 to 747 of the family's 1478-position model. Lineage: Archaea; Methanobacteriati; Methanobacteriota; Methanobacteria; Methanobacteriales; Methanobacteriaceae. The record is from RNAcentral.
AGCACGAUCAGGGGAUCCCAAGUGUUUGCUCGUAAGAGUAAGCUGUUUCUAUGUCUAAAAAGCAUGGAGAGUAAGAACUGGGUAAGACGGGUGCCAGCCGCCGCGGUAAUACCUGCAGCUCAAGUGGUGAUCGCUAUUAUUGGGCCUAAAACGUUCGUACCCGGUUCAGUAAAUGCCUGGGUAAAUCGUGUAGCUUACCUAUACGAAUAUCGGGUAGACUGCUACACUUCAGACCGGGAGAGGCUACAGGUACUCCUGGGGUACAGGUCAAAUUCUGUAAUCCUACGGGGACCACCAGUGGCGAAGGCGUCUAGCUACAACGGGUCUGACGGUGAGGGACGAAGCCCUGGGGCGCAAACCGGAUUAGAUACCCCCGUACUCC